This 429-nucleotide ribosomal RNA is filed under the name Verrucomicrobiota bacterium. Its description in RNAcentral is "Verrucomicrobia bacterium partial 16S ribosomal RNA". It matches the Rfam family "Bacterial small subunit ribosomal RNA", at positions 355 to 776 of the family's 1533-position model. The record is from RNAcentral. Lineage: Bacteria; Pseudomonadati; Verrucomicrobiota.
UAGGGAAUCUUCCGCAAUGGACGAAAGUCUGACGGAGCAACGCCGCGUGAGUGAAGAAGGAUUUCGGUUCGUAAAACUCUGUUGUUAGGGAAGAAAAAAUGUAUAGUAACUAUAUAUAAAAGUGACGGUACUUAACCAGAAAGCCACGGCUAACUACGUGCCAGCAGCCGCGGUAAUACGUAGGUGGCAAGCGUUGUCCGGAAUUAUUGGGCGUAAAGCGCGCGCAGGUGGUUUAGAAAGUCCGAUGUGAAAGCCCACGGCUCAACCGUGGAGGGUCAUUGGAAACUAAUAAACUUGAGUGCAGGAGAGAAAAGUGGAAUUCCUAGUGUAGCGGUGAAAUGCGUAGAGAUUAGGAGGAACACCGGUGGCGAAGGCGGCUUUUUGGCCUGCAACUGACACUGAGGCGCGAAAGCGUGGGGAGCAAACAGG